GCUUCUAGAGAGAAGGCAGGAGAGAAGUCUGCAAGGACCUCAGGCAUCAUCUAGCUGGGUGCAGCCCAGUCCAGAUGUGAAUUUGCACGAUGAGUGAUAAAGAGGAGUCUGGAGGCAAAAGGGCUAUGGGGAGCCCUAAGAAAACUGAUCUGGAGGCAUCUUCGAAGACAAAGGACGGCGUGAGCAGGAAAAUAAAAAGCGACUCUGAGCAGAAGCAGCCGAAAGCAAAGGCUGGGAGCAGGGAGCAGGAAGAAACUCAGCAAAGCAAUCAGCCCCCGGGGCCAAAAGAAAAAAAGAAUUCGAAG
Molecule: long non-coding RNA, 305 nt
Organism: Alligator sinensis (Chinese alligator)
Lineage: Eukaryota; Metazoa; Chordata; Crocodylia; Alligatoridae
Exons: 4
Source: RefSeq, a predicted model, not a curated record